Poecilia reticulata (guppy) is the source of this 2096-nucleotide non-coding RNA. NCBI's taxonomy places the organism in Eukaryota, Metazoa, Chordata, Actinopteri, Cyprinodontiformes, Poeciliidae. The record is from RefSeq and is a predicted model, not a curated record.
CAAGUGGCGCAUGGAGGCUCUGAAUUGCUCUGGCGUUUCUCAUAAGCUACACGGACUGCGUCUCAUUUACAUGCUGCUUUUCAGUGCCCUGUGAUGGACGGGCAGGCUGUACGUGGAGUUACCUGCUUCCCGUCGAUGUUGAUGCUGGAAACAGGCACCAGACCACCGUGUCCCAGCAAGGAUAAACUGUUCUCUACGUUUCAAGAAGCCUUCAUGCGCACGUCAACAUCUCCUCACUGUGAUAAUUGGGUCGUCCCUUCGGCUGAUUGUUGGACGCCCCUUUAAUUUUUGAAAGUGAGCACCACAGAAGAGCGUCAAGUUCUGCAGUCAUUACCAUUGCCCCCUCUCCUCUUUAGACACACACACACAGUCAUCUCUGGCUCUGGAGCCGAACCAUGCUAACACGCUAUUACACACCCUGCAGCUUUUAAUUCUCCCCAUGCACUGACGCAAGAGUUCAGUAUUGAUUUGUCCAUGUGAUGGUGGCUCUCGUAUUCAUUUCUCUAAUGACAAUUUGGGCGCGAUCGCACCACCAAGACAGUUAUUUUCAUCCGCACGGGUUUUUACAGGGAGAUCCGUUUUAAUCUUUGUGCCAGUAACCCGCCCUGUGUUCCCCCCACCCCUCUUUUUCUCCACUCCCAAGCUUACUGUUUAGCCAUGCUUCGAAAUCCCUCCUUCUGUGUUCACUGUCACCGUUUCUAAUCUGGCAACCCUAAGGGAGGUGGUAUCCAUACCUCAUUCCAGUCAUGCUCGCAUGCCUUUUCUCCUUCCGCUCAUCCCACUUGGGGGUAAAAUGGCUUUCUGAACACAUCAAAACCUCACAGGUCCAAUUCAGUAUUUGGUUUUUCAAUUGCCUCAUUCCAGCAAAACACUGAAAUUUAAGAGGUAGGAAUCCACCACUAAAAGCUAACUUUGCUUUCAAUCUCAAUUAAACAGCCCUUUGUCCUGCUGUUGCAGCUACUUUGCAUGAAACAGAUGUACACUUGCAGAUAAAAGGGCAAGAAGUAGUCACCUUCAUGCGGCUUUGUCAUAAGAGGAAAAACAAGGGUGGAAGAAAAUGAGCAAGGAGAUGAGAGGGAGAGAGUGAGACAAGGCAGCAAGUGCCGCUUUUCCUCCUGACUGAAUAAAACGCGAAAGAGACGUGAUUCACAGAGGAUUUGAAGAACUGCUAAUGAGCUAGGGGUUAAAUCAGAUACUGUAGCUGUGCUGAGGAACCUGAUUUCACUAUUAGCUAAGGGUUUUAGAGAAGGGUGGGUAAAAGUGGAGGGGGAAAAAAAGCAACAACAAAAAAAAGUCUCUUCCAACAAGUCGUUUGAUCUUUCUUUCAGUCUUAAACUUAUUUUCUGGAAUGCACAUUAGGGAUUUCAUAGAUGCUGGGAGAAAUGUUCCUCUUUUUAAGGAGGAUGAGGUGUUUGGCAGUGAAAGAAGUUCUUUGUUGCAUUCAGUUCCUGUAAUGCUUUUUAUUUAACCAGAACGGAGAGAGUGCUUAAUGAAAUGUUGCCUUGAAAGUGUCUCGGGGUUAGGUAUUUGGUGAAAGUGACACAAGCUUUGUUAGUCAUAAAAGGAGGAGAGAUUUUUAAUCAGGAUUGAAAAACGUUUGUUUGACGCACUUUAAUAGAAAACAUUUUUUUUUCUUUGCAUCUCCCUCUCCUGAGGUGCAGUCUGAAGUUUAAAUUCACUCACGCUUCUUGCAUUUCUCCAGUUUAUCUCCACACACUGGAAUAUUAUAAAUCAAAAAUAUUUCCUUCUCUUUUGUUUUACUGUGGCUGCUGCUGUCAAAUGGAUGUUGGCCCAUAUUCUGUUAUUUUCUCGGGCUUAUUAGCAAUUAUGUAUAGUGUCACUGGGAACAGAGUUUCGAAGCUUUUGGCAAGUUGUGAUGAACGAGCUCAGCAGUGAGCAGUUUGUGUUUAGAUAAUGAUGCUGUGCAGUUCAACUGCGAGACUCGAUUCAGCUGUCGCCCUCAAAUAUAAACCAUUUAAAUGUGAUUUACUUUGAGUUUUUCACUCUGGCUCUCGGAGUGAGUGGAAGCCUACUGAGACGUUUAAUGUUGUCAAAAUUUGAGAAAUAUUUUAAGUUGACAUGAACGUUAAUUAGGA